AGUUCAGUUCAGUUCAGUUCAGUUCAGUUCAGUUCAGUUCAGUUCUCGCUGAUAGUUUCCAUCCGAUCCACAAACAGGGACGGUUUUUUAAAUCAUGACAUCAUUAGUUGACAUCUUUAGUGCAGUUGAAAGAAACAUGAAGCAGGCAGUCUUUAGGGAAGAACAAAACUCUGACAGCUUUAGAAUAGGGUUUAGAGAUGGGGGUGCAUAGGGGGAGGCAAACGUCACCCAUACUCCUGUUUAUGACUGUGAUGUUAAAGGAGACAUCAGGGCUAUUGCUGUGGCUUUGGUCUGAGUCUAGGGGGCGCUGUCCUCCUCUGUUUUCACAGACAGGCACCACAUUUAAAAAGGGAUUCAGGUUUUUUUUUUCCCCCUUGAGUCAACUUCAAGAUUCCCUUUUUCCUACAUUUACUAAGGCUACACACACACUAAUACAUUUUUGUUUUAAAACCAUAUCCACACAAGCAUUUUUCAUAAAUAUUCUGCAUAAAUGUGUGACGUAUGAGUAGAGGAGCCAACGGCAAC
Molecule: long non-coding RNA, 525 nt
Organism: Sphaeramia orbicularis (orbiculate cardinalfish)
Lineage: Eukaryota; Metazoa; Chordata; Actinopteri; Kurtiformes; Apogonidae
Exons: 3
Source: RefSeq, a predicted model, not a curated record